CUUCAGUAAUAAUGUCCCCUACGGAACCUCAGAGAAACAGAAGGCUCGUGAGGAGUAUGAUGAUGCUCUGAGCUCCGGUCAGCAGGCCUUCCUAUUGGAGGAGAGUGAUGAGAGUCCAGAUAUAUUCUCUCUGAGUGUGGGCAGUCUGCCUCCAGGAGAGAGCGCCUCCAUCAGGUUGGAGUACGUCACUGAGCUGGCUGUGCAGGCUGAUGAUGGUCUGAGGUUCUGUCUGCCUGCUGUGCUCAACCCUCGAUACCAACCUCAGGUAAGAGUGUAGAGUAUGGUGAGAAGACCAUGGAGGAGGCUCUGAAGAAAGUUGAGCAAAUGGAGGCUGAUCUUGGAG
Pelmatolapia mariae (spotted tilapia) is the source of this 343-nucleotide long non-coding RNA. RefSeq lists it as uncharacterized. The record is from RefSeq and is a predicted model, not a curated record. The transcript is spliced from 3 exons. Lineage: Eukaryota; Metazoa; Chordata; Actinopteri; Cichliformes; Cichlidae.